AUGUCUCACGGGAAGUUCUCAGCUCCUAGGCAUGGGUCCAUGGGUUUCUUGCCUUGCAAACACAGAAGUUGGCAUUGUGGGAAAAUGAAGAGCUUCCUGAAGGAUGACCCUUCCAAGCCUGUUCAACUCACAGCCUGUCUAGGGUACAAGGCUGGUAUGACUCACAUCAUCUGGGAAGUUGACAGGCCAGGAUCUAAGGUAAACAAGAAAGAAGUUGUGGAGGCUGUGGACAUUGUGAACUACCCAUGGUGGUUGUGGGCAUUGUGGGAUAUGUUGAAACCCCAGGAGGCCUUUGGACCUUCAAGACUGUAUUUUCUGAGCAUAUCAGUGUUAAGUGUAAAAGGCAGUUCUAUAAGAACUGGCACAAAUCUAAGAAGGCUUUCACCAAGUACUGUAAGAAAUGGCAGGAUGACACAGGCAAGGAACAGCUGGAUAAGAACUUCAACAGCAUGAAGAAGUACUGCCAGGUCAUUUGCAUAAUUGCCCACACUCAGAUGUGUCUGCUUCCUCUGCACCAUUUGGUGGAGAAGGCACAUUUGGUGGAGAUCCAGGUGAAUGGAGGCACUGUGCCUGAGAAGCUAGAUUGGGCUCAAGAGAGGCAGGAGCAGCAGGUUUCUGUGAACCAGAUGUUUGGGCAGGAUGAGAUGAUUGAUGUCAUUGUCAUGAAAAAAGGCAAAGAGUACAAAGGGGUAACCGGUCACUGACAUACAAGGAAACUGCUGUGAAAGACCCCUCAGGGUCUGCACAAAGUUGCCCGCAUUGGAGCUUGGCACCCUGCCUGUAGCCUUCUCUGUCUCUUGAGCUGGGCUGAAAGGCUACCUUCACUGAACAGAGUUUAACAAGAAGAUUUGCAAGAUAGGUCAAGGCUACCUCAUCAAGGAUGGUAAACUGAUCAAGAACAAUGCAUCUACUUCUAUGACCUGUCUGACAAGAGCAUCAACACACUGGGUGGCUUUGUCCAUUAUGGUGAAAUGACUUCAUCAUGCUCAAAGGCUGUGUUGUGGAAACCAAAAAGCAAGUACUUACUCAUUGUAAGUCCUUGCUGGUCCAGACGAAACAUCAGGCUCUGGAGAAGAUUGACAUGAAGUUCAUUGACACCACCUCCAAGUUUGGCUAUGGUCAUUUCCAGACCAUGGAGGAGAAGAAAGAAUUAAUAGGACCACUCAAGAAAGAUCACAUUGCCAAGGAGGAAGGUGAUUCUAGGAUCACUUUGUGCAGCUUGUGGGGUCUCAUCAAUAAAAUAUUUCCAGUUUAA
RNA transcript from Mastomys coucha (southern multimammate mouse), 1255 nucleotides. It is a transcript of the gene named 60S ribosomal protein L3 pseudogene, with no coding region annotated. The transcript has a single exon. The record is from RefSeq and is a predicted model, not a curated record. NCBI's taxonomy places the organism in Eukaryota, Metazoa, Chordata, Mammalia, Rodentia, Muridae.